RNAcentral lists this transfer RNA (68 nucleotides) under Marmota monax (woodchuck). Its description in RNAcentral is "tRNA.Val". The stretch from base 6 to 63 matches the Rfam family "tRNA", at positions 8 to 63 of the family's 71-position model. From Rfam's summary of the family: Transfer RNA (tRNA) molecules are approximately 80 nucleotides in length. Their secondary structure includes four short double-helical elements and three loops (D, anti-codon, and T loops). Further hydrogen bonds mediate the characteristic L-shaped molecular structure. tRNAs have two regions of fundamental functional importance: the anti-codon, which is responsible for specific mRNA codon recognition, and the 3' end, to which the tRNAs corresponding amino acid is attached (by aminoacyl-tRNA synthetases). tRNAs cope with the degeneracy of the genetic code in two manners: having more than one tRNA (with a specific anti-codon) for a particular amino acid; and 'wobble' base-pairing, i.e. permitting non-standard base-pairing at the 3rd anti-codon position. The record is from RNAcentral. Lineage: Eukaryota; Metazoa; Chordata; Mammalia; Rodentia; Sciuridae.
GAUAAUAACUCAGUCAGUAGAGUGCUUGCCUCACAUGCACGAGGCCCUGGGUUCAAUCCCUAGCACCA